AAUAAUAAAAGACAUCUAGGAGUAUCAGAGCAUAAUAAAUGUCUAAAUGCUACAACAAGGGAUAAGGAUAAAACUGUAAAUCCACUAAAUAAAACAUAAAGUGAUACAAGAAAAUCCCAGAUACAAGUGCUAUAGGUAGAUACAUAGGUGGUCUCUAUACAUGGAUACAAAAACCUCUCACUCUCUCAACUACAAAAGAAAGAGUAAACCACCUAGGUNGCCAAACACUCCAAUCAACUCUAACUUUUUAGAGUUAUCAUAAUACCCAAUCAUGAUACUUUCGCUCACAAGUCGAAUAGACCUCGUCUCUCACGAGCCUAUUUCCUAUAGUCCAACCGGCCUAAGGUCUGCUAGAUCCACUAAGACUCAACCCUAGGCUCUGAUACCAAAUUAAUCUGUCACGCCCCGGGACCAAGCGGAAGCCCGCCCGGCGCGUGCCCAGACCCGCCAUACGUCUAAAACGUACAAGGCGUCUAAAAACAACAAUAAACAAAGCAAUAAAAAAAAAAAAGACAUCUAGGAGUAUCAGAGCAUAAUAAAUGCCUAAAUGCUACAACCAGGGAUAAGGAUAAAACUGUAAUUCCACUAAAUAAAACAUAAAGUGAUACAAGGAAAACCCAGAUACAAGUGCUAUAGGUAGAUACAUAGGUGGUCUCUAUACCUGGAUACAAAAACCUCUCACUCUCUCAACUACAAAAGAAAGAGUAAACUACCUAGGCAAAGUACCGCUCCUCGCUAGCUAGCUAAGCGAUCCCCUUGCCGCGAUCCCGUGCCUCCGCCGGUGCCGAAGGCUCUGAAAAGUAAACCAUAAAACAGGGGCGUGAGAACUAUUAAAAAUAGUUCCCAGUGGGCAAUUACUGACUUCAGUGAAUGCACCACGAGGCCCAAAGCUACAAAAGAUGUCAGUGACUAUAAAAGUAGAAAAGCGAAAGGUAAGUAAA
RNAcentral lists this long non-coding RNA (941 nucleotides) under Ananas comosus (pineapple). RNAcentral's name for it is "long non-coding RNA (ACOM_LNC016888)". The record is from RNAcentral. Lineage: Eukaryota; Viridiplantae; Streptophyta; Magnoliopsida; Poales; Bromeliaceae.